UACAGAGGCCUCAAGCGUUAUCCGGAAUUACUGGGCGUAAAGGGUGUGUAGGUGGUCUAGUUAGUCUUCUGUUAAAUUCUUCGGCUUAACCGGGGACCUGCGGAGGAAACGGCUAGACUCGAGGGUGCGAGGGGUGCAUGGAACUCAUGGAGUAGGGGUGAAAUCCGUUGAUAUCAUGAGGAACACCAAAAGCGAAGGCAGUGCACUGGCGCAUUUCUGACACUCAAACACGAAAGCGUGGGUAGCGAAUGGG
RNAcentral lists this ribosomal RNA (253 nucleotides) under uncultured bacterium. Its description in RNAcentral is "partial 16S ribosomal RNA". It matches the Rfam family "Bacterial small subunit ribosomal RNA", at positions 524 to 776 of the family's 1533-position model. The record is from RNAcentral.